GGGCCGCACGCGCGCUACACUGACGGAGCCAGCGAGUCUAACCUUGGCCGAGAGGUCUUGGUAAUCUUGUGAAACUCCGUCGUGCUGGGGAUAGAGCAUUGUAAUUUUUGCUCUUCAACGAGGAAUUCCUAGUAAGCGCAAGUCAUCAGCUUGCGUUGAUUACGUCCC
Molecule: ribosomal RNA, 168 nt
Filed under: Vanderwaltozyma yarrowii
Lineage: Eukaryota; Fungi; Ascomycota; Saccharomycetes; Saccharomycetales; Saccharomycetaceae
Also listed under: 1 other name
Description: partial 18S ribosomal RNA
Rfam family: Eukaryotic small subunit ribosomal RNA
Source: RNAcentral